CCCUCACUGAGCCAUUUUCCCAGGGGACAUAAGGCCUUGCCCGGUGAGGUGCAAAGGAUCUCCUAUGCUUCCUCGUGAGCCAGUUGUUCUAGCCCUCCCAGCCCAGACCUUCUCCAGGGUCAGAGAGGGCUCCCAAGAGAGGCGUGACAGAGGGGGGCAGGUGAGAGGACAGGAAGGCAGGACCAGGAUGGCAUUGACAGAACAUUCAACCAAUGAUGCACGGGGCCCUUCUAUGCCCUGUCAAGACAUGUGUCCAUGA
Molecule: long non-coding RNA, 259 nt
Filed under: Mustela putorius furo (domestic ferret)
Lineage: Eukaryota; Metazoa; Chordata; Mammalia; Carnivora; Mustelidae
Description: lncRNA (ENSMPUG00000031086.1)
Source: RNAcentral